AGCAGCCGCGGUAAUACGUAGGUGGCAAGCGUUGUCCGGAAUUAUUGGGCGUAAAGGGCUCGCAGGCGGUUUCUUAAGUCUGAUGUGAAAGCCCCCGGCUCAACCGGGGAGGGUCAUUGGAAACUGGGAAACUUGAGUGCAGAAGAGGAGAGUGGAAUUCCACGUGUAGCGGUGAAAUGCGUAGAGAUGUGGAGGAACACCAGUGGCGAAGGCGACUCUCUGGUCUGUAACUGACGCUGAGGAGCGAAAGCGUGGGGAGCGAACAGGAUUAGAUACCCUGGUAGUCCACGCCGUAAACGAUGAGUGCUAAGUGUUAGGGGGUUUCCGCCCCUUAGUGCUGCAGCUAACGCAUUAAGCACUCCGCCUGGGGAGUACGGUCGCAAGACUGAAACUCAAAGGAAUUGACGGGGGCCCGCACAAGCGGUGGAGCAUGUGGUUUAAUUCGAAGCAACGCGAAGAACCUUACCAGGUCUUGACAUCCUCUGACAACCCUAGAGAUAGGGCUUUCCCUUCGGGGACAGAGUGACAGGUGGUGCAUGGUUGUCGUCAGCUCGUGUCGUGAGAUGUUGGGUUAAGUCCCGCAACGAGCGCAACCCUUGAUCUUAGUUGCCAGCAUUCAGUUGGGCACUCUAAGGUGACUGCCGGUGACAAACCGGAGGAAGGUGGGGAUGACGUCAAAUCAUCAUGCCCCUUAUGACCUGGGCUACACACGUGCUACAAUGGACAGAACAAAGGGCUGCGAGACCGCAAGGUUUAGCCAAUCCCACAAAUCUGUUCUCAGUUCGGAUCGCAGUCUGCAACUCGACUGCGUGAAGCUGGAAUCGCUAGUAAUCGCGGAUC
RNAcentral lists this ribosomal RNA (840 nucleotides) under Bacillus sp. PS-156. RNAcentral describes it as "bacterial SSU rRNA". It matches the Rfam family "Bacterial small subunit ribosomal RNA", at positions 510 to 1350 of the family's 1533-position model. Lineage: Bacteria; Bacillati; Bacillota; Bacilli; Caryophanales; Bacillaceae. The record is from RNAcentral.